CGGGCGGCCCCCCCCCGAGGGCGGGGCGUUGGGGGCGUCUCGUACCAAGCCUCACCCGGGGGAGGGGGGCUGCGGAGCUGACGAGCACACGGCGGGGCACGGGGACCCCGUGUCCAUCCGGCCCGGGGCCGCGCGGGCUGUGCCGCUUUGGGAGCCCCCCUCCGUCUGCCCGCGGAGCUGCUGGGGCCAACGCGGAGCCGACGAGCGCCCCCUCCCCCAACAUCCCCCCCCGCGGCCGCCACAUGGUCUCGCCGGGGGGGGGAGAGCUUUUGUCCCCCGCGCACCGCCGUAGGCGGGCGUUUUCCCGCCGCCGUUGUCAUGGCGCUGGAGGUGCUGCGGCCGCGYGGCGUGCGCCUGGCGCUGCUGGCGGCCUUCGCGGCGGGCGUGCUGGUGGGCUGGCAGGCCGGGCGCGCUCGCCGCCGCUUCCUCCAGUGGCGCAAGCGGCGGCUCCAGCAGCGCCUGGCCGCCGCGCAAGAGCAGCUCGAGCUGGCCUGAGCGCGCCUUGUGUUGAUGGGAGUGGACAGUGAAUGAACAUAAUGGAUUCCUCUUGCACCUCUAUCUAAAUGGAUUUAAAAAGAACUCUUUUAAAAAUCAUGUUACAGUGCUGUUGGAAAAGGAAAGCAUCUUGUAGAAUGACAGGACCUAUCUUUUACAAACUGUUGUCAGAAAAAAGAUCUUCACCUACGUCAGACUAACCCAUCUAGCAAAAUGUUGAGAGACAAGUUAAUUUUGAACAACACCAAAUAUUUUUCCUUAUUUGGAAGGACUAUCUCUACUUAAUCUUGCUUUGUCAUCCCUAAGACUGAGGUAUAKUGUUCUGCUCUUGCCAAGAAGUACUGCUGGUACAUUAAACUAGUAAAAAGCUUAUGUGGUGUAUCCUAGGUAUGUUUAUUAUUCUGAUAAGUGAAAGUAUAGCCUAAGGAUAUUCAUAAUGAGGGAUAAAUCUCAUUAUGAAAAUACGCAAAUGAAAAAAGCCCAUGGGAACAAUUAAGUGAUGAUACACCAGCAUGCAAUGGUAGGAUGAGCUAGUAUAUUAAAUUAAUGAUGGUUGUGCUUUGGACAUUGAAUUUCAAGGAACAUAAGGUACUGGAUUAUAUAUCCUAUCAUGUAGUCAUUGCAAAGACUACACUGGUUCUUUAGGCUUACUAUUUUAUAUCACAGCCACUUCCAGCAAAUGGACAUCAUGACCUAAAAUUCUUGAUGGUUUUCCCUUGGACUUGUGCCUCAUACUGCAGAUAGCAGUAGUUUGUUCCUUUUGCGCUUCCAAGAGUAUUUCCUUGAGUCKGAGAGAAGGUGGUGCUCCUGGUUUGUGUCAGAGUAUUGCAAGCUGUGCAGACUGCUGAUCUUAAAGUUCAUAAUCUAAGUUGAAUUAUACCCCUGCCUUUUCUCCAGGUUUGUGGAUUUGUUUUUUUUUGUUUAGUUGGUUGCUUUUUUUUUAGCUUUGGUGUGUUUGCAUAGCGGAAGUCUAACUCUUGUGGCUUGGGCACACCUAUUUCUGAUGUGGUGUAAUGUACUGCGCUUGCCUUAAGAGAGAAUUUUGAGGAUUUAAUUUAACAGCUCCCAUUGGCAUACUAGUACCCCCCCCCAAAAAAAUUAAAACAAACAAACAAACAAACAACCCUGUUCUGUGCCCUUUAAUGUCAUGAAAUGUUGAUUUGUAACUGAAUAAAGUAGUCUGUGGAUAGAAACA
This 1690-nucleotide long non-coding RNA is filed under the name Apteryx rowi (Okarito brown kiwi). RNAcentral's name for it is "lncRNA (ENSARWG00000011242.1)". The record is from RNAcentral. Lineage: Eukaryota; Metazoa; Chordata; Aves; Apterygiformes; Apterygidae.